This 254-nucleotide ribosomal RNA is filed under the name uncultured bacterium. RNAcentral describes it as "partial 16S ribosomal RNA". It matches the Rfam family "Bacterial small subunit ribosomal RNA", at positions 524 to 776 of the family's 1533-position model. The record is from RNAcentral.
CACGUAGGGGGCAAGCGUUGUCCGGAUUUAUUGGGCGUAAAGAGCUCGUAGGCGGCUCAGUAAGUCAGGUGUGAAACCUCCAGGCUCAACCUGGAGACGCCACCUGAUACUGCUGUGGCUAGAGUCCGGUAGGGGAGCGUGGAAUUCCUGGUGUAGCGGUGAAAUGCGCAGAUAUCAGGAAGAACACCCGUGGCUAAGGCGGUUCUCUAGUACGGUACUGACGCUGAGACGCGAAAGCGUGGGGAGCGAACAGG